UAUUAAAACUUUCAUCCAAUUCUACUAUUAAAAAUUAGUACGGCUGACGGAAUAACCGAAUAAUAAUACAUGGAGUGCCACAUGUACCUCCUACUGACGUAUAUGGAUCAAUUUUUAACAGUAAAAAUAACAAAAUGAUCAGUUUGCUC
Molecule: microRNA precursor, 149 nt
Filed under: Gossypium hirsutum (cotton)
Lineage: Eukaryota; Viridiplantae; Streptophyta; Magnoliopsida; Malvales; Malvaceae
Description: MIR7502 microRNA precursor family
Rfam family: MIR7502 microRNA precursor family
Source: Rfam by way of RNAcentral